Molecule: ribosomal RNA, 761 nt
Filed under: Cryptosporidium xiaoi
Lineage: Eukaryota; Apicomplexa; Conoidasida; Eucoccidiorida; Cryptosporidiidae
Description: SSU rRNA
Rfam family: Eukaryotic small subunit ribosomal RNA
Source: RNAcentral
UUUGUGAAGGGUUUGGUAUUAUUAGAUAAAGAACCAAUAUUUUUGGUGACUCAUAAUAACUUUACGGAUCACAUUAUGUGACAUAUCAUUCAAGUUUCUGACCUAUCAGCUUUAGACGGUAGGGUAUUGGCCUACCGUGGCUAUGACGGGUAACGGGGAAUUAGGGUUCGAUUCCGGAGAGGGAGCCUGAGAAACGGGUACCACAUUUAAGGAAGGCAGCAGGCGCGCAAAUUACCCAAUCCUAAUACAGGGAGGUAGUGACAAGAAAUAACAAUACAGAACCUUACGGUUUUGUAAUUGGAAUGAGUUAAGUAUAAACCCCUUAACAAGUAUCAAUUGGAGGGCAAGUUUGGUGCCAGCAGCCGCGGUAAUUCCAGCUCCAAUAGCGUAUAUUAAAGUUGUUGCAGUUAAAAAGCUCGUAGUUAAUCUUCUGUUAAUUUUUAUAUAUAAUAUUUCGAUAUUUAUAUAAUAUUAACAUAAUUCAUAUUACUUUUUAGUAUAUGAAACUUUACUUUGAGAAAAUUAGAGUGCUUAAAGCAGGCUAUUGCCUUGAAUACUCCAGCAUGGAAUAAUAUUAAGGAUUUUUAUUCUUCUUAUUGGUUCUAGAAUAAAAAUGAUGAUUAAUAGGAACAGUUGGGGGCAUUUGUAUUUAACAGUCAGAGGUGAAAUUCUUAGAUUUGUUAAAGACAAACUACUGCGAAAGCAUUUGCCAAGGAUGUUUUCAUUAAUCAAGAACGAAAGUUAGGGGAUCGAAGACGAUC